GCCUAAGACUGGGAACGGAUCGGAUUGUACGCGCGCUUGCGCGUGCCGUCUGUAACCGAAAACAGGUCCAGCGUGUGGCUGAGCGUGUGUGUCUGUGCACCCUGAUCCGAGUGGCCUGGAGCUGGGGCGUGCCCGUGAGUCCCAGCCAGGUGGGUUUGCAGGUGGGGGAUCCGCGCUUACCCCAAUUUGUGGCCUUGAAGGGGGUGGAGGCGUGUGUUUGAGUGGCAUCCCUUUCCCCUGAGACGUCUCUUGAGCACCUCCUGUGGGGCCUGGCCUCCAGGCGUCUCGACCCGCCGGUCCUGCCCUAGCAGUGGGAGCCCAGACAGACCUUCUACUGGGCAGUCAGCAAAUGAAGAGAGUCUGGGGCAGUGAGCACCCUGUGCAGAGAGUACGGGACCCUCAGGAGGAGGUGAAAUUUGAGUGGAGACCUGGAGGAAAGCCUGGUAGAGCAAGGGGAAAGUUUUCCGAGAAGAGGAAAUUGCAUGUGCAAAGAGGGUCCGAGCUUGGUGGGUCAAAGAUUAAAAAAAAAAUUUAUUUAACGUAAACUAUUAAUAUAAAGGAUUUCCCUGGUGGCUCAGGCAGUAAAGAAUCUGCCUGCAAUACAGAAGACCCAGGUUCGAUCCGUGACUCAGGAAGAUCCCCUGGAAAAGGAGAUGGCAACCCACUCCAGUAUCUUACCUGGGAAAUCCCAUGGAUGGAGGAGCCUGGCAGGCUACUGUCCACGGGGUCACAAAGAGUUGGACACAACUGAGCGACUACACAAAUUAAUAUAAAAUUACUGAAACAAAGGGAGGAGAUUGUAAAAUCUUGGGGAGUGGAGAAGUCCUCCUGGGUAUGUUACUAAACCCAGAAACCAUAAGAGAAAAAAAUAAAAAGUUGAUUUACAUUAAAAAUAAAAAUUC
Molecule: long non-coding RNA, 902 nt
Organism: Dama dama (fallow deer)
Lineage: Eukaryota; Metazoa; Chordata; Mammalia; Artiodactyla; Cervidae
Exons: 2
Source: RefSeq, a predicted model, not a curated record